UACGGAGGGUGCAAGCGUUAUCCGGAUUCACUGGGUUUAAAGGGUGCGUAGGUGGGCAGGUAAGUCAGUGGUGAAAUCUCCGGGCUUAACCCGGAAACUGCCAUUGAUACUAUUUGUCUUGAAUACCGUGGAGGUCAGCGGAAUAUGUCAUGUAGCGGUGAAAUGCUUAGAUAUGACAUAGAACACCAAUUGCGAAGGCAGCUUACUACGGGUGCAUUGACACUGAGGCACGAAAGCGUGGGGAUCAAACAGG
RNAcentral lists this ribosomal RNA (253 nucleotides) under uncultured bacterium. RNAcentral describes it as "partial 16S ribosomal RNA". It matches the Rfam family "Bacterial small subunit ribosomal RNA", at positions 524 to 776 of the family's 1533-position model. The record is from RNAcentral.